Molecule: unclassified non-coding RNA, 327 nt
Filed under: fungal sp.
Lineage: Eukaryota; Fungi
Description: partial internal transcribed spacer region
Source: RNAcentral
AAGUUAUAACAAAAUUUCUGUAGGUGAACCUGCGGAAGGAUUAUUAGAUGAUAAAGGCUGUUCUUUAGGCAUUCGCCUGUCUGUUCUGCAUCUUGUCUUAUAUAGAUCAUUCUGUUCAGAAGAUGAUCUUGUAUAGAAAAAAGAAAAAGAAAAAGAGAGAAAUUAUUUGUGUACAUUUAUUGAAAUAUUGCUUUAGGAAAGUGAGUUUUCCAAGAAGCCCAUUUGAAACUCCUUUCUAGAGUUUUGUUCUCAUGUAUACUCUAACUUUUAGACUGAAAAAAAAUAUUAAUUCAAUACAACUUUCAACAAUAGAUUUCUUGGCUCUCA